AUGCAAGUCGAACGGUAACAGGAUGUGCUUGCACAUCGCUGACGAGUGGCGGACGGGUGAGUAAUGCUUGGGAACUUGCCUUUGCGAGGGGGAUAACAGUUGGAAACGACUGCUAAUACCGCAUAAUGUCUUCGGACCAAACGGGGCUCCGGCUCCGGCGCAAAGAGAGGCCCAAGUGAGAUUAGCUAGUUGGUAAGGUAACGGCUUACCAAGGCGACGAUCUCUAGCUGUUCUGAGAGGAAGAUCAGCCACACUGGGACUGAGACACGGCCCAGACUCCUACGGGAGGCAGCAGUGGGGAAUAUUGCACAAUGGGGGAAACCCUGAUGCAGCCAUGCCGCGUGUGUGAAGAAGGCCUUCGGGUUGUAAAGCACUUUCAGUUGUGAGGAAAAGUUAGUAGUUAAUACCUGCUAGCCGUGACGUUAACAACAGAAGAAGCACCGGCUAACUCCGUGCCAGCAGCCGCGGUAAUACGGAGGGUGCGAGCGUUAAUCGGAAUUACUGGGCGUAAAGCGCACGCAGGCGGUUUGUUAAGCUAGAUGUGAAAGCCCCGGGCUCAACCUGGGAUGGUCAUUUAGAACUGGCAGACU
Molecule: ribosomal RNA, 590 nt
Filed under: uncultured bacterium
Lineage: Bacteria
Description: bacterial SSU rRNA
Rfam family: Bacterial small subunit ribosomal RNA
Source: RNAcentral